UACGAAGGGGGCUAGCGUUGUUCGGAAUUACUGGGCGUAAAGCGCACGUAGGCGGGUCGUUAAGUCAGGGGUGAAAUCCCGGAGCUCAACUCCGGAACUGCCUUUGAUACUGGCGAUCUAGAGAUCGAGAGAGGUGAGUGGAAUUCCGAGUGUAGAGGUGAAAUUCGUAGAUAUUCGCAAGAACACCAGUGGCGAAGGCGGCUCACUGGCCCGGUACUGACGCUGAGGCACGAAAGCGUGGGGAGCAAACAGG
This 253-nucleotide ribosomal RNA is filed under the name uncultured bacterium. RNAcentral's name for it is "partial 16S ribosomal RNA". It matches the Rfam family "Bacterial small subunit ribosomal RNA", at positions 524 to 776 of the family's 1533-position model. The record is from RNAcentral.